Molecule: unclassified non-coding RNA, 334 nt
Filed under: soil metagenome
Description: partial contains 5.8S ribosomal RNA, internal transcribed spacer 2, and large subunit ribosomal RNA
Rfam family: 5.8S ribosomal RNA (bases 1-120)
Source: RNAcentral
GAUGAAGAACGUAGCGAAAUGCGAUAAGUAAUGUGAAUUGCAGAAUUCAGUGAAUCAUCGAAUCUUUGAACGCACAUUGCGCCCGCCAGUAUUCUGGCGGGCAUGCCUGUUCGAGCGUCUUUUCAACCAUCAAGCCCCCGGCUUGUGUUGGGGACCUGCGGCUGCCGCAGGCCCUGAAAACCAGUGGCGGGCUCGCUAGUCACUCCGAGCGUAGUAAUACAUCUCGCUCAGGGCGUGCUGCGGGUUCCGGCCGUUAAAAGCCUUAUUUACCCAAGGUUGACCUCGGAUCAGGUAGGAAGACCCGCUGAACUUAAGCAUAUCAAUAAGCGGAGGA